UUGCCAGCAUUUGGUUGGGCACUCUAAGGGGACUGCCGGUGAUAAGCCGAGAGGAAGGUGGGGAUGACGUCAAGUCCUCAUGGCCCUUACGGGCUGGGCUACACACGUGCUACAAUGGUGGUGACAGUGGGCAGCGAGACCGCGAGGUCGAGCUAAUCUCCAAAAGCCAUCUCAGUUCGGAUUGCACUCUGCAACUCGAGUGCAUGAAGUUGGAAUCGCUAGUAUAUCGCAGAUCAGCAUGCUGCGGUGAAUACGUUCCCGGGCCUUGUACACACCGCCCGUCACACCAUGGGAGUUGGUUCUACCCGAAGGUAGUGCGCUAACCGCAAGGAGGCAGCUAACCACGGUAGGGUCAGCGACUGGGGUGAAUCGUAACAAGGUAGCCGUAGGGACCU
RNAcentral lists this ribosomal RNA (395 nucleotides) under Sinorhizobium sp. 1004b. RNAcentral describes it as "bacterial SSU rRNA". It matches the Rfam family "Bacterial small subunit ribosomal RNA", at positions 1115 to 1513 of the family's 1533-position model. Lineage: Bacteria; Pseudomonadati; Pseudomonadota; Alphaproteobacteria; Hyphomicrobiales; Rhizobiaceae. The record is from RNAcentral.